UACAGAGGUCUCGAGCGUUGUUCGGAUUCAUUGGGCGUAAAGGGUGCGUAGGUGGCUUGGUAAGUCGGAUGUGAAAUCCCGGGGCUCAACCCCGGAACUGCAUUCGAUACUGCUUGAGCUUGAGUCCUGGAGAGGAGAUCGGAAUUUACGGUGUAGCAGUGAAAUGCGUAGAUAUCGUAAGGAAGACCGGUGGCGAAGGCGGAUCUCUGGACAGGAACUGACACUGAGGCACGAAGGCCAGGGGAGCAAACCGG
RNAcentral lists this ribosomal RNA (254 nucleotides) under uncultured bacterium. RNAcentral describes it as "partial 16S ribosomal RNA". It matches the Rfam family "Bacterial small subunit ribosomal RNA", at positions 524 to 776 of the family's 1533-position model. The record is from RNAcentral.